Non-coding RNA from Vicia faba (fava bean), 315 nucleotides. NCBI's taxonomy places the organism in Eukaryota, Viridiplantae, Streptophyta, Magnoliopsida, Fabales, Fabaceae. The record is from the annotation of a GenBank genome assembly.
AUGAAACAAAAUCUUGAUGAAGGUGCAUUUAAGAGAAGAAAGACUCAAGCACAAAAUUUUGAUGUUGAUCUUACUACUCAAGAGGGUGGUGUAGUAGAAAUGGAUGUAGAACAAUCAAGAUCAAAUUCAGUGAUUGUGUCUCAAAAGAGAAAGAAUACUAGUCGUAUUGCUAAUUCUGCGUAUUUUCAAUCUAUGGCUGAUGCACUUUGCAGCAUGAGUCUGGGGUAUAAAGUUCCAACUAUGCAUAGUGUUCGUGGCUAUUUGUUAAAUAAAUGGGUUGAAGAUGUGAACAACUUGAUAGAGGAGUAUCGUUAG